RNAcentral lists this ribosomal RNA (478 nucleotides) under uncultured bacterium. RNAcentral's name for it is "partial 16S ribosomal RNA". It matches the Rfam family "Bacterial small subunit ribosomal RNA", at positions 28 to 523 of the family's 1533-position model. The record is from RNAcentral.
GACGAACGCUGGCGGCGUGCUUAACACAUGCAAGUCGAACGGUAAGGCCCUUCGGGGUACACGAGUGGCGAACGGGUGAGUAACACGUGGGCGAUCUGCCCUGCACUUCGGGAUAAGCCUGGGAAACUGGGUCUAAUACCGGAUAGGACCACUGCCUGCAUGGGUGGUGGUGGAAAGCUUUUGCGGUGUGGGAUGGGCCCGCGGCCUAUCAGCUUGUUGGUGGGGUGAUGGCCUACCAAGGCGACGACGGGUAGCCGGCCUGAGAGGGUGACCGGCCACACUGGGACUGGGAUACGGCCCAGACUCCUACGGGAGGCAGCAGUGGGGAAUAGUGCACAAUGGGCGCAAGCCUGAUGCAGCGACGCCGCGUGAGGGAUGACGGCCUUCGGGUUGUAAACCUCUUUCAGCACCGACGAAGCGCAAGUGACGGUAGGUGCAGAAGAAGGACCGGCCUACUACGUGCCAGCCGCCGCGGUAA